Molecule: unclassified non-coding RNA, 343 nt
Filed under: soil metagenome
Description: partial contains 5.8S ribosomal RNA, internal transcribed spacer 2, and large subunit ribosomal RNA
Rfam family: 5.8S ribosomal RNA (bases 1-119)
Source: RNAcentral
GAUGAAGAACGUAGUGAAAAGCGAUAAGUAAUGCGAAUUGCAGAAUCCGUGAGUCAUCGAAUCUUUGAACGCACAUUGCGCCCACUGGUAUUCCGGUGGGCAUGCCUGUUCGAGCGUCAUUAUCCUCCCUCAAACCCCGGGUUUGGUGUUGGACCCAAGUUGUGUGAACAACUGGUCUCAAAGACAAUGACGGCGUCCGUGGGACCCUCGGUGCAACGAGCUUUUAGGAGCACGCAUCGAGUUGCAAGGACCUUCCGGGCCGGUCUCCUUUACCAUUUUACAAGGUUGACCUCGGAUCAGGUAGGAAUACCCGCUGAACUUAAGCAUAUCAAUAAGCGGAGGA